This is an RNA transcript of Vicia villosa (hairy vetch), 5087 nucleotides long. It is a transcript of the gene named putative disease resistance RPP13-like protein 1, with no coding region annotated. The transcript has 3 exons. Lineage: Eukaryota; Viridiplantae; Streptophyta; Magnoliopsida; Fabales; Fabaceae. The record is from RefSeq and is a predicted model, not a curated record.
UUUUACAGCCAACCAUUCAUCCAAAAACACUACUCUUAUCCAUUCAUUCUCAUGCCAUUGAGUCGUUGUUCCUUAUCUCUCAAUAUUCAUACCUCUUACUCUCUUUCAAAAUUCAGCUAUUAAGAUACAACUUCCUUACUAGUUGAUUUGCUUUAACAAAAUCCAAACAAGAUGGCUGCAACUAUGAUAGGAGGUGCUUUUCUCUCUGCAACUCUUCAAACCUUAGUUGAGAAACUUGCUUCAACAGAGUUUCUUGAUUAUAUCAGAAACACCAAGUUGGAUGUCUCCCUCUUAAGAAAGUUACAAACAAACUUGCUCACUCUUCAGGCUGUGCUGGAUGAUGCAGAAGAAAGGCAGAUCAACAAUCUUGCUGUCAAAAAAUGGCUAGAUGACUUGAAAGAUGUUGUCUUAGAUGCUGAGGAUUUGGUCAAUGAAAUAAUUUACGACUCCCUUCGGUGCAACAUGGAGAAUACUAAAGCUGGAAACAGAACUAAUAAGGUGUGGAACUUUCUUUCAUCUCCUUUCAAAAACUUCUAUAUAGAUAUGAAUUCCCAAUUGAAGAUCAUGUGUGAAACACUUGAACCUUUUGCACAACAUAAAGAUACCCUUGGAUUGCAAACAAAAACUGCUAGAGUUUCUCGAAGACCACCUUCAAGUUCAGGGGUUAAUGAAUCUGUCAUGGUCGGUAGGAAUGAUGAUAAAGAUACAAUCAUCAAUAUGCUUGUAUCAGACUGUGGCACCAGCAGAAGUAAUAACUUAGGUGUUGUUGCAAUUUUGGGUAUGGGAGGUGUCGGAAAAACAACUCUUGCACAACUGGUCUACAAUAAUGAAAAAGUUGAACAACAUUUUGAUUUCAAAGUCUGGGUUUGUGUAUCAGAGGACUUCGAUGUUGUGAGAGUAACCAAGUCUCUCCUUGAAUCUGUUGUUAGAAAUACAACAUCAGCUGCUUCAAAAGUCUGGGAAAGCGAUAACCUUGAUAUUCUUCGAGUUGAAUUAAAUAAAAUCACGAGGAAGAAAAGAUUUUUGUUUGUGCUGGAUGAUUUGUGGAAUGAUAGUUACAAUGAUUGGGAUGAGCUAGUAAGUCCUCUUGUUGAUGGAAACCCUGGAAGUUCGGUGAUUAUAACAACGCGUCAACAAAAAGUUGCAGAGAUGACAAAGACAUUUCCUAUUUUUAAAUUAGACCCUCUGUCACAUGAAGAUUGUUGGUCUAUACUCUCAAAACAUGCAUUGGGUAGUGAUGAACAUCAUCCUAGUAAGAACACAACCCUUGAAAAGAUUGGUAGGAAGAUUGCAAGAAAGUGUGGUGGAUUGCCAAUAGCUGCAAAAACUCUGGGAGGACUUCUACGCUCAAGGGUAGACACAAUGGCGUGGACUGAUAUUUUGAACAGCAAUGUAUGGAACUUACCAAAUGAUAAUAUUAUGCCUGCAUUACAUUUGAGUUACCAAUAUCUUCCCUCUCAUUUGAAAAGAUGUUUUGCAUAUUGUUCAAUUUUUCCAAAAGAUUAUCCACUUGAUAGGGAGAAAUUGGUUUUGUUGUGGAUGGCAGAGGGCUUCCUUGAUUAUUCUGACGAGGUAAAAUUGCCAGAGGAAGUAGGUGAUGGUUGCUUUGCUGAAUUAUUGUCUAGGUCCUUAAUUCAACAAUCAAAUGAUGGUGCUCCUGGAAAAUUGUUUGUCAUGCAUGACCUUAUAAACGACUUAGCUACAUCCGUAUCUGAAAAAAUUUGUCGUAGGCCUGAAUGUGGUGACAUUCCUGAAAAGGUUCGACAUUUAUCAUAUAAUCAAGAAGCGUAUGAUAUUUUCAUGAAUUUCAAGCAUUUAUACAAUUUAAAAUGCUUGCGAAGCUUCCUACCCAUUUCUAGUAAUUGGUUUAGAGCUGCCUUGUCCAUUAAGGUGGUUGAUGAUUUGUUGCCAACAUUCAAAAGGUUGCGGGUGUUAUCGCUUUCAAAGUAUGUAAACAUCACCAAGCUACCAGAUUCAAUUGGUAAUUUGGUUCAAUUGCGAUAUCUAGAUUUGUCCUUCACUAAAAUCAAAAGCUUGCCUGAUACAGUAUGUAACCUUUACAAUUUGCAAACUUUGAAUUUAUUAGGUUGCUCCAGUCUCACUGAAUUGCCAGUGCAUAUGGGAAAUUUAAUCAGCUUACGUCACCUUGAUAUAAGUGGGACUGCCAUAAAAGAGUUGCCUAUGGAAAUUGGUGAGCUAGAAAACCUCCAAACUUUGUCUGUUUUUUUAGUGGGUAAGCGAAAUAAAGGGUUAAGUAUCAAAGAACUAGGGAAAUUCCCAAACCUACAAGGAAAAUUUACCAUAAAAAACCUUAACAAUAUCGUUGAUGCAAAAGAGGCAGAAGAAGCCAACCUGAAAAACAAAGAGAAAAUUGAGGAGUUAGAGCUAAUAUGGGGAAAACAAAGUGAAGAUUCACUGAAAGUGAAAAUUGUGCUCGAAAUGUUGCAACCACCAAUAAACUUGAAGAGCCUGGUCAUUGAUUUGUAUGGAGGGACAAGUUUUCCGAAUUGGUUGGGAAAUUCUUCAUUUUCUAACAUGGUGUCCAUUGAGAUUCGUAAUUGUGAAUACUGCAUGACACUUCCACCGCUAGGCCAACUACCUUCCCUCAAGAAGCUUAGUAUAUCGAAUUUGUUGUUAUUGGAGACCAUUGGCCCAGAGUUCUAUUGUGUUGAGGAAGGAGAAUGUUCCAGUUCUACCUUCCAACCAUUUCCUUCCCUUGAGCAUAUGAAAUUUCACAGCAUGCCAAAUUGGAAGGAUUGGAUUUCCUUUGAAGGCAUAAAUUUUGCAUUUCCUCGACUUAGAACUAUGGUGUUACGUGAUUGUCCUGUACUAACAGGAGAUUUGCCUGACCACCUUUCAUGCAUGGAAGACAUUGAAAUAAAAGGUUGUUAUAAGCUAUUGGAAACUACCCAUACUUUGAAUUGGCUAUCGGCAAUCAAAAUAGUGACAAUUAAAAAAGAUUUUAAUCAUGAAGUUUUUUCGACCGACUCUCCUUUGCAACAUGCAGCUGCUGCUGAAAGUUACCCAAUGUUUAUUUCUAAAACAAUCACGAGUAGUAUUUGUCUUACUCACUUGAAACUCAGACAUAUUCAAUCUCUUACUGCGUUUCCCACAAAUGGUCUACCCGCUUCAUUGCAGUCACUUGAUAUUGAUGGGUGUAGGAAGUUAUCCUUCAUGCCUUUCGAAACAUUUCAAAAUUACACAUCACUUGUGAGUCUUUAUAUGUGGGAUAGCUGUGAUUCACUUACAUCAUUUCCACUUGAUGGUUUCCCUGCGCUCCAAACACUUUCCAUUCAUGUUUGUAGGAGUAUGAAUUCCAUUUUUAUUUCAGAAAGUCCUUCUAAUCGGCAGUCAACCCUCCAAUCACUUAAAAUCACAUCAGUUGGAUCACUUAAUGUCAAUCUUCGAUUGGACACGCUCACCAAUCUUGAACAUUUGAAUCUUUGCUGUCAGGGAGAGUUGUCAUUUUGUGAAGGAGUCUGUCUACCCUCCAAAUUACAAACAAUUGAUAUUUCUUUCGGAAGAACAAAGCCGCAUGUAAAUGAAUGGUGUCUCCAAGACCUAACCGCUCUUUCAAGAUUGAAAAUUCAAGAAAGCGGUGAAAUGGAAAACACCUCGACGGUCGCUUCGUUGCUCCCCAUCUCCCUUGUGUCUCUCUGUGUCGGUGAUAAUAUGUCCUUUGAAGGAAGUGGGCUUCGACACUUCUCCUCUCUCCAAAAUCUCGACUUUGUUGAUUGUCGACAUCUAAAGUCAUUGCCAGAAAACUGCCUUCCUUCCUCGCUGAAAUCACUUCAAUUUGAUGAUUGUAAACAACUAGAGUCAUUACCAGAAGACAGCCUCCCUACCUCUCUUAAGCGGCUGACCAUCAGAGAUUGCCCUGUGUUAGAAGAAAGGUAUAAAAGGAAGGAAAAUUGGUCCAAAAUUGCUCACAUUCCUGUCAUACAAAUAAAUGACCAACUCAAAAUAUGAAGACAAGUUGCCUUCAUAAUGUUUCAGCUACGCUCUCAAGUAAAGAUUGCACAAAAUCAAAUCUUUUGCACAUUUGUUGAAUAAAGUUAAACCAAAUCUUUUACUGCUAUACUUGGGAUACUAUGAAUGGGAAAUUCAAGUGUGGUGCUUACUUUUUUGAGAUAUGAUUAUUCAACCGGAAUAACUAACAGAAAGAGGCCUAAGUGGAUGAAAAACAGCGCACUUGAUGAAUUGAAGACAAAAGGAGUGCAUGCUAUUGUUGUGGUUCUUUCUUCAUGUAAACUUGUUUCAGUGGAAUCAAACGCUUUCCGUUGAUUUUCGCAAGAUUUGAUUUGCGUAGCUAAUAUUAAGUAUGUAUUUGAUCAUCAUUUGAUUGCAUCUUUGUGUAUUCUUCAUAAGCUGCAUGAACCAGACAGAUAGAGUAGAAUGCAGUAAGCUUUGUAAUAUUUUCUUAUGAUUUGAAUGAUUCAUAAAAACUGUUGUUUGAAUACCUGUGUUCCACUGCUUUGUUAGUAUGUGGCAAGAUGAAGCAUAAAUAAAUGGAACAAGUUGAAGAAUCCAUGUUGUUCUUGGUUCUAAAUUCAUGCAACUUGUUUAAGGAACAUUAUCAGGAUUGAUGUUCUAUAACAUACUACAUUUUUUAGUUUGUUAGGUUGACAGUUUUGUGUAGUACUUUUCAAGUCAUAAUAGAUUACUUUUUUUCUCAUUUAUCUUCGGAUUUUAAACUGAUGCAUUGAAGACAUUGGUCAUACAAAGACAAUACUGUUUCAGUUCAGACAAUAUAAAUUAGAAGCAAGAAAAUGUCUUAUACUUUCAUUCACAGACAAAAGUCAUUCAAUCUCAAAUGCUUCUAUGCUGCAUGUAUAUCUAAUUUAUUUUAGACAAGAGUAAUCAUAAUUAUGUAUCCAAGAAAGUUACUUCAAAAUAUCGAUAUUUCAAGUAGUCUGUGAUCAUGCCUCCAAUGACUCAAUUGGAUCACUUAAAGUCAAGCUUUGGAUGGACAAACCCCCUGCUCUUGAAGAGUUGGAUCUGCAUUCAUCACUGGAACUGGAACUCCAUUUUGGAAGCAAUGUGUAUUAUGACUCAUAAUCUAGUGGUUAAUUAUUCUAGUGGUUAAU